UAUUUAAUAAACCAUGUAGAGCCUACGGAUAGACAAUGCUCUAUCGUGGAACAACCAUAUUGAGCAUAUUAGAUUGAGACUCUCAUCGCUCCUUGGCUCCCUACGUAACAUCGCUCAAGUUAUACCACACAAAUUAAGACAUACUAUUUAUAAUGCUCUUGUAAAACCACACAUCUUGCAUUUAAUUGAAAUAUGGGGAAGCUCAGCCAAAACAAAACUGUCAGACAUUCAGAUCCUGCAAAAUAAAAUCAUUAAAAUGUUAUUUUUACUACCACGACUUACUGUUACUAAAAAAUCUACAGUGACACAAAAAUAAUGAACAUUCGACAAUUAUAUACAUUUACAACUUGUAUUUUUAUAUGGAAAUGUCUCAAUAAAAAAGUACAGACGGAUCUUAAUUUUACUUACCAUAGAGAUGUAAGCAAACGUAGUAACCGACGUGCCAGUCUUCUAGUGCUACCUAAAACACGCACAAACUAUGGAAAAAAAAUAUUACAUUUGAAGGAGCACAGUUGUAUAAUAAAAUACCUACUAACAUACGAAAUGUAAAUUCACUCAGUGUUU
This is a long non-coding RNA of Aricia agestis (brown argus), 564 nucleotides long. RefSeq lists it as uncharacterized. NCBI's taxonomy places the organism in Eukaryota, Metazoa, Arthropoda, Insecta, Lepidoptera, Lycaenidae. The record is from RefSeq and is a predicted model, not a curated record. The transcript is spliced from 3 exons.